CCUUUGAAAGUAAUCCAAUUUAUUUUUUUGACCAAAUCUAGGCUACCACAUCACUUUGAGGAAUGACUUAUAGAAACUAAUGCAUCCAGGUACUGAGAUGAAGGAUACCAUUUACGAAUUAACAAGCAUAAUCCAUGUACUGUACAAGAGGUGACUACAAAGAAAUAUUUGUCAGUUAAAAUAUCUAUUGGAGUCCUAGAUAGCACUGGAAGGUCCACAAAUUUCUGGAGUUCGCACCAGGAGCCAGCCAGGAACCUGGGGAGAUGGCACUAGCGCUGUGCAACCUUGGCGUUGAAUGGUUGUCAGUGUGGUGCGGCGAUCAGUUGAUCUGCGCAUAUGGCAGAGCUAUGAGAGAAGUUUUAAUGAUUUCAUGAUCAG
This is a long non-coding RNA of Mauremys reevesii (Reeves's turtle), 378 nucleotides long. RefSeq lists it as uncharacterized. Lineage: Eukaryota; Metazoa; Chordata; Testudines; Geoemydidae. The record is from RefSeq and is a predicted model, not a curated record. The transcript is spliced from 4 exons.